UUCUUUGAUCAUUUGAGGAAGUUUUUUUUUAAAGCACCAAUAUGUGUCUUCAAUUUUUAGGAAACCAGAAUUCGGGCAAUGGAAAAAGAUGCCAAGAAAGGAAUCCAUAAUUUCUCUGUCAUUAACCCUCUUGCUGGACAAGCUACAACUCAUAUUUUUGCAGUUGACAGUAGAGCAGAUCUUCAGCAGUGGAUGGAAGCUUUCUGGCAACAUUUCUUUGAUCUUAGCCAAUGGAAGCAUUGUUGUGAAGAACUUAUGAAAAUUGAGAUUAUGUCACCACGGAAACCACCUUUGUUUUUGACAAAAGAGGCAACCUCAGUCUACCAUGAUAUGAGCAUUGAUUCACCUGUGCAACUUGAAAGUUUAACUGACAUAAUACAAAAAAAAAUUGAAGAAACAAAUGGACAUUUCAUUACUGGUCAGGAUGAAGAGGUCUCACCACCUCCUUGGGCCACAAUAUUUGAUGGUAAUCAUAAAAUGGAUAUCCAGAAAAAGGUAUUGUCCCCUGCAGGUGAGCAGUUACAUGAUGGGAAAAGGAAAAAGAGACGAGCUCCCCUUCCUCCUGCUGAUAAACCUCCAUACAGCUUAAAAACACAGAGCAACAGAGAUCAGUUGGUUAAGGACAACUGGGGAAAUACAAGUACAUCACAAUCCUUGCCUUUGGAUACCAAACUAUCAACCCUGAUGCAUCACUUACAGAAACCAGUUGCUGCUCCUCGAAAACUUCUUCCUGCCAGGAAAAAUAGUUUAUCUGAUGGUGACCACACAGACACUAAAACCAAUUCUGAAACUAAGCCAGUGCCAGCUCCAAGGCAGAAAUCCAUCAAAGACAUUUUGGAUCCUAGAUCAUGGUUACAGGCACAAAUAUAGAAAACUCUUAUUGUAUAAAACAUUGAACAGAAUGUAACUGUGAGGCUUAAUUGAGAGGCAUUGUUAAUGCAGUAAUGUUAUAUACUUUUAUAGGUAAAUAUGGUAGUGAUUUACAUAAAUAAUAAGCUAUCAGGUAUAUAACAUUUUUAUAAUGCAGAAAUAGAUUUUUCUUUUAUUUCUGAUUUUCAGAAUGUAAGUAAUUUUCCUCAUAGAGUAUAAGAGGCAGUUUCUAGACAAUAUCCUAAUUGUUGGAAGGGUUAAUUUAUUCCUAAAUUAGUACCAAGCAGUGAAUAAGCACUAGGCAGAAGAAAGCAUUAACAUUUCUUUAGGGGAGAGAUUGUCUAGUAAUUUAAAAUGUGUUAAAUAUGAGCCAUAUUCUCAUUGUGAGAAUUUAAAUACUAAUGGAAUGUUUCAAAGGUUUUAUUCAAACCACAAAUUAUAAAAUCCACCCAAGAAAAUUUUCUUCUUAACAUUCUGGAAUUCUCAUGUAAUGGUUCACUGCCUCUCAUCUAUUGUUUAACUCACUAGUUUAUAGGCUUGACCUUUUAAAUUCCUGGGAUAAAUUUUGGAAUAUUAAAUUCUUUGUCUUUAAAGGGAAUUUGUAAUGUGCUAUUCAAAGUCAUUUCCUUGAUGAGCACUGAAAUCCUGUUGACAUUAACUCUCAUAAGUGAAGCAUAACAUUUAUUAGUUCAGAGAAACAGUAGAUAAAAUGUUCUUUACAUCUACUUUUUUGUGUGUGGUACUAAUUUCCAUUAUGACUUUGGAAUUUCAGGAAGUGAAUAGCUGAUUAACACCUUAAAAUUUAAUACUUAUUUGCAAAACAGAUGGCAGAUUUAAAAAAUCAUAAAAGUUGGCCAUGGUAAUAAUUUCAGAAUUAAUCCUUUUAAAUUUUUUAAUUAGUUUCCUUUUUCUAGUAAAGGUUGAUGUGUGUUGAUAUUAUUCAUUAAAUUCAUAUUCUUACAACAAUAACGUUGGAAUCAUUUCCAUAGGAGGUAAGUUCCAUAGCAACUAAUCAUAGUGACCCAAACAGGAUUAUGAAAUCAAGCGAGGAACAAAUAACAAGAAGAUGAAUAUUUUAAAGGAAUAGAAAAUUCAUUUUUUAUAGUAACACUUCUAAUAAACAAGAUGAGUAUAGUUUUUAAAAAUCUAAUCAGAAUUUCCAAAUAAAAGUUUCCAUAAGGUGUCAGCAGCAGCACUAAAAAUAUCAAAUCACACUCAACACUAAAUGUCAUUGCAAGUAAAAAUAUAAAAAAUUACUGUCUGUGUAUAAUCUCUGGAGAUCUUUUUAAAGCUAGGAAGAUCUCUGUUUGAAUCAGAGCUGCAUUAUUGCAAAAUAAAAUGAACACUUGACCAAAAAAAGCAUUAAUUUAAAUGAAGUCUUCGUUAUUUUUAGAUAGCACUGUCUUUUUUUCAUUUAUAGAGCAUGAUGUAAUUGUCAGAUUACUUUGAACCUGACAAAAGAUCUCUUGCGACUAAUGACACCAGGGCAGACACAGCAUUUGGUGAGAAGAAAAUGACCUAAAAAGCUGAUUAUUUUUUCUACUGGGAGGGUCUUGCACAUUUCUGUUAUGAUUGCCAUUUCAUUAAAUGGUGUAUUCAAAACCUAAAGGAUAUUAUUAUUUGAAUUUUUAUUUUUUUAAAACUCACUGCUGUUAUUGACAGCAUUUACAAUUUGUCGUUGCCAAUAAAUUUUUCAGCUAGAAGAUGCUGUAGGCAAAAUUGUUUCUGAUACUGGCAUCUAAGCAUUUCUUUUUUUCCCCCCUAAUUGAUGCUUUCCUUUAGUACAAGCCUGUAUUAAAACUUCAAAUCAUAUUCUUGUCAUUUCUCCUUAUGUAAAUUAUACAGAAAGAAUUUAAGUUGUACAGGAAAGACAGUUUAUUCAUAGAGAAUUUAUCUAGCAGUCAUGUUCUCAGAAGGGAACUUUGAACUAGGUCUGAAGUCCUUCCUAGAACCAUUUAGGUGAAGCCCACCUGUGCUCCCCCCCUCCCCUGCUCAACCCUACCUCCCACAUUAUUUUUUCUAUUUCUGGGAACAUAUCUUCCCGUAUAUAUGGUAGAGUCUUUAAAAAUCAGCCUGUAAUCUUCAACUACAUCUUUUGAUUAUUGUUCCCAUUAAAUGCUUCCCGUAUAUAUGGUAGAGUCUUUAAAAAUCAGCCUGUAAUCUUCAACUACAUCUUUUGAUUAUUGUUCCCAUUAAAUGAUACUUUACCUGCCCCCUAAAAAGAGAAGUUAUAAUACAAAGUUGGAUUUUGUUUCUUCCUUCUCUCACUUCCUUUCCUGUCUCUCUCCCACUUCCAUUUUUCUUCUUUUACAAUUAAAAAAAAAAAAUUAAAAAUACUGAGUUGAACACUGCCAAGGUGUUCAUCAGAAAUAUUUGUUUUCUUAAUUCCUGAAACAAGUUUAUGACAGAGAAAUAUGCCAUGUAACAUGAAAGGUGUCAGCUUUUUUAAGAGCUGGAUUUUUACAUUCCUUAUCUUUUUAAUUUGUCUCUGUAUGUAUGAAGACUAUAAACUUGAAACAGUUUUCUUUCAUAUCUUUAUAUUCUAUUUGGAGAGGCAUAAUAGGAAAAAUAGGUAUUUUAUGAUAUAAUUUUGAUAAUUUGAAGACAAUAUCUUAGACAAUUGCAUUUAUAUUUCAAAUUCUAGAAUAUAAAUUUCUUACAAUAGCAUUUAAGGUAGUGUUUUUAAUUGCUACAAAAUAGUUUUUUUUAACAUCUUGCAAAGACAAAAAAUGUUUUUCAUUAUAAAUGCACACUUCCUAAGGUAAAUAUCAAGCAUGACAGGUCCUGCUGAGUUUUGUUAAAUUUCCUUUAACUGUCUGCAUUGCCCCCUAACUUCUUUUAAAUGGAUAUGAAUGUAUCUGGAAAACUAAAUCCAUUUAUUAUAAAGGCCUUAUCUUUACCCUUUAGAAUACUAUUACAUGUAUUUUACCUGGUACUAUUUGUUAAAAGUGGAAGCUUCCUUGAUUUAGAGACAACUCAUGUAAGGUAGGUUAACUAGUCAAGUGUUUCUAUAGGCUUAUGGGAAGCACCUCAGACACCUACUAUGAAGUUAAUUCAGUCCAAAAUGAAAUAGGGCUGUUUGGUGCAAUUAUGUUAAAUGCUAUUCAAAUGUAAUCAUCUGUGUUACCAUAAAUGAGAAAAAAAAAACAUAUUAAAGUGAGGAUGCUGUAGCAGGAACAAGAAG
Molecule: long non-coding RNA, 4054 nt
Organism: Fukomys damarensis (Damara mole-rat)
Lineage: Eukaryota; Metazoa; Chordata; Mammalia; Rodentia; Bathyergidae
Source: Ensembl